Molecule: ribosomal RNA, 441 nt
Filed under: uncultured bacterium
Lineage: Bacteria
Description: partial 16S ribosomal RNA
Rfam family: Bacterial small subunit ribosomal RNA
Source: RNAcentral
CCUACGGGUGGCAGCAGUGGGGCAUAUUGCACAAUGGUGGAAACCCUGAUGCAGCGACGCCGCGUGAGUGAAGAAGUAUUUCGGUAUGUAAAGCUCUAUCAGCAGGAAAGAAGAAAGACGGUACCUGACUAAGAAGCCCCGGCUAACUACGUGCCAGCAGCCGCGGUAAUACGUAGGGGGCAAGCGUUAUCCGGAUUUACUGGGUGUAACGGGAGCGUAGACGGAUGUGCAAGUCUGAAGUGAAAGCCCAGGGAUCAACCCUGGGACUGCUUUGGAAACUGUGGAGCUAGAGUGCUGGAGAGGUAAGUGGAAUUACUAGUGUAGCGGUGAAAGGCGGAGAUAUGAGGAGGAACACCAGUGGCGAAGGCGGCUUACUGGACAGUAACUGACGUGGAGGCUCGAAAGCGUGGGGAGCAAACAGGAUUAGAUACCCGAGUAGUC